Molecule: ribosomal RNA, 253 nt
Filed under: uncultured bacterium
Lineage: Bacteria
Description: partial 16S ribosomal RNA
Rfam family: Bacterial small subunit ribosomal RNA
Source: RNAcentral
CACGUAGGGCGCGAGCGUUGUCCGGAAUUAUUGGGCGUAAAGAGCUCGUAGGCGGCCUGUUGCGUCCGCUGUGAAAGCCCGGGGCUUAACCCCGGGUCGGCAGUGGAUACGGGCAGGCUAGAGGUAGGUAGGGGAGACUGGAAUUCCUGGUGUAGCAGUGAAAUGCGUAGAUAUCAGGAGGAACACCAAUGGCGAAGGCAGCUCGCUGGGACGUGACUGACGCUGAGACGCGAAAGCGUGGGGAGCAAACAGG